GUGAACCAGUGCGCUCGAGCGGCGUCUGCUGAGCGACAUCGCGGGCGGGCCAAUCAGCGGCGAGAACCCUCCCCCCGAGGGAGGAGCUAACUGACAGCUACAAGGGGGCGGGGACCGGUCCUGGGUUCCCACAGGCACUGAGUGUGUGUUCAGCCUAAGUUAGUGGGCGUGGCUUCUAGACGAAUGGGCGUGGUCAGCGUGCU
This is a non-coding RNA of Pelobates cultripes (western spadefoot toad), 203 nucleotides long. The record is from the annotation of a GenBank genome assembly. Lineage: Eukaryota; Metazoa; Chordata; Amphibia; Anura; Pelobatidae.